CCUUACUUCCUUCCCUUCCCUCGGCUUCCCGCUCUUGCCUCACUCUCAGCGGCUGCCUUCGCCCCUGUCUGCAGACAGCGCCGCUGGAUGCUCCCAGCUGGACUUCAACCCCACUCCUCUCAGUCCCUCUCCCCACUGCCUUCCAGACGCGCCUCUUCCCCGCCCCGCGCCCCUCUCUCCUCUCCCACCCCUGCCCCUCUCCGCGGCGCUCACCCUCCUCAGUCCCAGUUUCUGAAAGGACUCAGCUGAGAAAGGACAACUGGGUUCCGCUUUCCUUAACCCUACACCCUUUAGCUGGAUGCUGUCAGAGGCGAUGGAGAAACGCAAAGGUGCGUUAAUUUUACUCUAGCCAGAGUAUAAAAGAACUGCCCACGCCAGCUAUUGUACUACGCAGCUUCGAAACUCCUGCACGCUCUCCUGUGUGGCUCCCGUCCGUGAUGGGACUGUAGUUGAGGAGCUCGGUCUCAAAUGGUGCCUUCCGUCAGUGACCUUGAGUCGGUUGCCUAAGAUUUUAGAUUUUCCUUUUCCUUCCUGGGAGGGGCAUUAUUUAUACCUUUGCAGUCCCACAAACAGUGUUUAGACCAAAUAAGUAUCCUUUAGUAAACCUAGAACUGCCAAGUGAUCAUCAUUUUGCCCGUUUGUUCCUACUCAACCCAGCAGACAAUUUGGGUCACGCUUCAGUUCUGGCAGUAAAGACAAACUGAGUCAGCAGUUAGGAGUGGACUCCCUUAAACAACAGAGUUAGAGUGGGGAAGUGGUCAUAACAUCGCUGUAAUCACAAACUUGUUUUUCCUAACACUGCAAUCUACAGAAGUUUCAGGAUUUCCUCUAAUAAACAUAAGGCUACUAGACGCAACAAUAGAAUUACCAUAUUGUUUUUCCUGGUUUGAAAGGACCAGAUGGAAAGAAACUGGGCAAGCCAAUGAAAGUCUCUGGGGAUCAUGGGAAUUGAGUGUCUAUGAAAACCAUAUUCCAGACAAGAAUAUAGUCUAAGGUUUAUGGGACUCCCCAGUACUCUCCAUGUAGAGUCUAAUGUAGAAUCCAGGAGUGCACAGAAAAGUCACUGGAUGACACAGCAAGAGGCAACAUUUUGGAAGCAGAGGGCAACUCUCACUGGAAACCAAAUCUCCUGGCACCUUGAUCUUGGAUUUUACAGCCUCCAGAACUGAUAGCUGGGAGGCAUUACAUAGUCAUGUGCGAGGUCAAAACUGAGUCACCACCACAACCAAGUUCCAGCUGGCAAGAAGAGGAAAAAUAACACAGAGGAGUUAUGACCAGUGUUGUAAGGAUCUGGCCUAGAAAUGGCAUGCAUCUCUUCCACUAAUAUCCUAUUGGUAAAAAUGUAGUCACAUGGGCACACCACCUAUCUGCAUGGAAGGCUGGGAAAUGUUGAUCGGUAGGGCAGCCAUAUGUGUAGGAAGGAGAAAACAGAAUUUGGUGGAUACCUAGUAGUCUCUGCCAUACCCUUGACCAGAAAUUUUUCUUCUAAAGAAUUUAAUUCUAAAAGUUAUAGACAUUCCCAAAGAUAUACCUGCAAGCAUCACAGCUUUGUGUAUAAUUGCAAAAGUUGAAAUCAACAUGAAUGCCCAAAAUAGUGAAUUAUUUAAACAGAUUAUUACCCAUAUUAUGAAGAAAUACUCUGCAACUCUUAAAAAUAAAUGUAAUGUGCCAGGCGCAAUGGGAUAUGCCUGCAGGCCCAGCUACAC
Molecule: long non-coding RNA, 1706 nt
Filed under: Homo sapiens (human)
Lineage: Eukaryota; Metazoa; Chordata; Mammalia; Primates; Hominidae
Description: non-protein coding WDFY3-AS2:21
Source: RNAcentral